This is a long non-coding RNA of Balaenoptera acutorostrata (minke whale), 453 nucleotides long. RefSeq lists it as uncharacterized. Lineage: Eukaryota; Metazoa; Chordata; Mammalia; Artiodactyla; Balaenopteridae. The transcript has 4 exons. The record is from RefSeq and is a predicted model, not a curated record.
GCACAGUGGUCUGGAUGGCCAGGGAGAGGGGAACUGAAAUAGGUGGAACUGUUUUCUGAGAGAGACUGGGCUACAAGAGACCCAAGGUCAUGUCUACUUAUCUUCCACCACCUGCCCUCCCCCAAAGAACAAUGGCAGCACAAAAAAUAUCACCAAAACAGAAACGCUCUGAGAAGAAUCCUGACGCAUCUCUCAUAUGUCCUCAAUUGAGAAGAUUUUAAAAAUUUAGACUGAAAAAUUAUUGUCUUCAUUGAGACUUAGAAAAAGCAUCAGGCAGUACUGCUUCAAGUGUGGUCCACGGAUUGGCAGCUUCAGUAUCAGCUGAAAGCUUGUUGGAAAUGCAAAUUCUCCAGCCCCUACUGACUCAGCAUUUCUGGAGUGGGACUCCAAGAAUCGAUUUUAACAAGCUCUCUAAGUGUUUCUUAUGUACAUUAAAAUUUGAGAAGCACUGUU